UUCAUUAUUCAAAAUUAAUUGGAGGUUAGUUUGUUUUCAGUUGAUGAUUUCAUUUAUUAGUUUAGAAAUUAAAGAAAUCAUUUUUCAAUUUUAUGUUCUUUAAUCAUUAUAACAACAUUAAUGAAGUCAGGGACAUCUUUAGUUUGGGGCUUACUCAAUUUCAUUCAACUUCUACUGAAAUUGAUAUAUCUGGGUUUGUUCCUGGUAAUUUCGAUUAUGAAGGUAGUGAUUUUCGUAAAAAUAGAUCUAAGCAUCGGAACGAUCCUACAGUCAUGAAGAAGUUACGGGAUGCUGAUAGUGCUAAAGAAAAAAAGACUGUUGCUACUAUUUGAAAGAGUAUAAAAAAGAAAGUUGUGAAAAGAGAUCCAUUACCAAAGAUAUGUUAUUUAUGUAUUUGACAGAUGAAUUUCUUCAACACAAAUUUUUUUUUAUGUAUCAUAACAUAAAAUGUAACAAAUGUUAAUGUUAAUCAUUAAUCUAAUACAUAAUCAUGAAGAUACCGUCAAAGCAUGCGUUAUGAUAGAUCACAAAUUUUCUUAGUAUGAUACAUAUGUAUGAAAUAUAUCAUGAUGUCUGAUAUAUACAGUAUAUUUAUGUAUCAUGAUACAAAAUGUAACAAAUGCUAAAGCUAUUAAUUAAUCUGAUACAUAAUUAUGAACAUAAGCUCAGUGCAUGCGUUAUGA
This 683-nucleotide long non-coding RNA is filed under the name Capsicum annuum. RNAcentral describes it as "long non-coding RNA (CANN_LNC022541)". The record is from RNAcentral. Lineage: Eukaryota; Viridiplantae; Streptophyta; Magnoliopsida; Solanales; Solanaceae.